UGAGUACGAGAUGCUACGGCGUCGAAGCAGUCUAGGUCAUACUUCCAAGAAAAGCUUGCACUGUCAUAAACAAAGAAUGCCUGUACCAUAACCGACACAGGUGGGUAGGUAGAGUAUACUAAGGGGCGCGAGAUAACUCUCUCUAAGGAACUCGGCAAAAUGACUCCGUAACUUCGGGAGAAGGAGUGCCUUAUUUUUAAGGUUGCAAUAACAAGAUCCAAGCAACUGUUUACCAAAAACACAGGUCUCCGCUAAGUCGUAAGACGAUGUAUGGGGGCUGACGCCUGCCCAGUGCCAGAAGGUUAAAGAAGUUGGUUAGCAUUUGCGAAGCUGAUAACUGAAGCCCUGGUGAACGGCGGCCGUAACAAUAACGGUCCUAAGGUAGCGAAAUUCCUUGUCGGGUAAGUUCCGACCCGCACGAAAGGCGUAAUGAUUUGGAUACUGUCUCGGAGAGGGGCUCGGUGAAAUAGACUUGUCUGUGAAGAUGCGGACUACCUGCACCUGGACAGAAAGACCCUAUGAAGCUUUACUGUAACUUGAGAUUGAAAUUGGACUUUAUUUGCGCAGUAUAGGUGGGAGGCGUUGAGAAUGAUCUUGCGGGAUUAUCGGAGCCAUCAGUGAGAUACCACUCUUGUAAUGUUAGAUUUCUAACUUUGUAUCAUUAUCUGGUCAAAGAACAGUUUCAGGCGGGCAGUUUGACUGGGGCGGUCGCCUCCCAAAGGGUAACGGAGGCGCACAAAGGUUUCCUCUGAACGGGUAGAAAUCGUAUCUAGAGUGUAAAGGCAUAAGGAAGCUUGACUGUGAGACCUACAAGUCGAGCAGGGACGAAAGUCGGUCUUAGUGAUCUGACGGUGCUGAGUGGAAAGGCCGUCACUCAACGGAUAAAAGUUACUCUAGGAUAACAGGCUGAUCUCCCCCAAGAGUUCACAUCGACGGGGAGGUUUGGCACCUCGAUGUCGGCUCAUCGCAUCCUGGGGCGGUAGUACGUCCCAAGGGUUGGGCUGUUCGCCCAUGAAAGCGGUACGCGAGCUGGGUUCAGAACGUCGUGAGACAGUUCGGUCCAUAUCCGGUGUAGGCGUUAGAAUAUUGAAAGGAGCCUUCUCUAGUACGAGAGGACCGAGAAGGACAUACCUCUGGUGUGCCAGUUAUCGUGCCAACGGUAAACGCUGGGUAGCUAUGUAUGGAGUGGAUAACCGCUGAAAGCAUCUAAGUGGGAAGCCCACCUUAAGAUAAG
RNAcentral lists this ribosomal RNA (1234 nucleotides) under metagenome. RNAcentral's name for it is "bacterial LSU rRNA". It matches the Rfam family "Bacterial large subunit ribosomal RNA", at positions 1564 to 2808 of the family's 2925-position model. The record is from RNAcentral.